RNAcentral lists this unclassified non-coding RNA (240 nucleotides) under soil metagenome. RNAcentral describes it as "partial contains 5.8S ribosomal RNA, internal transcribed spacer 2, and large subunit ribosomal RNA". The record is from RNAcentral.
AACCAUAGAAACCUGCGGAGUACCUGCGGAAGGAUCAUUACAGAGUUGCAAAACUCCCUAAACCAUUGUGAACGUUACCUAAACCGUUGCUUCGGCGGGCGGCCCGGGUCCUCCCCGGCGCCCCUCGGCCCUCGCGGGCGCCCGCCGGAGGUAAACCAAACUAUUGCAUUGUAUGGCCUCUCUGAGUCUUCUGUACUGAAUAAGUCAAAACUUUUAACAAUGGAUCUCAGAUCGGAAGAG